AUGGCGCAGCCAGGGACUACGGCGGCGGGGCAUGCGCUGCUCUGGUUCAUAUCGGAGGGUCUUGGAUCUGGGCGGCGGCCCCCGGCGAGGCCCCUUGUCACCUGCGGUGAGCAGUGGGGUAGGCGCGGUGCCGGCGAUCUGGUCGGGUGGCCGGCGGAUCUUCGGAUGUUAGUAGUGGAUGACAUCCGGGAAUACAUUACCAAGUCACGAACAAAAACUGUAAAUGAGAGUCCCACAAGAGAAUGUACUUGGGAAAGAAAGCUUGGGCAGUACUCUCUGUUACUCAACUUCGACUAUGAUCCAUGGAAUGCACUGUCUUUUCUGUCACUAGGCUUGCUCGAUGCAACAAGAAAAGGACAGAAGUCUGACAAGAAGAUAAAACUGGCAGAUACAGUCAUCAUCCACAUCCUCUCUCAGUUCAAAAAGAACAACGGCAAGCUAGAAAAUGGACAAGCAGCACUUGCUAGAAAUCAGCUGGGAAGCCAAUUCUCAUGGGCCUGCAACUUGCCAACACACAUCCACACAAUCCUUGUAUGGCAUAUCGCCACAACCAUCUCCCGGAACGAGCUGUCGCUGAAGGGCAACGACGACCUCCUUGUUGCCGUGAGACUGUCGGAUUACUGUGCCUACUUGGUAGCUUUUGUUCCCGACAUGCUGCCUGGUCAUGGCUACGACACACGACGCAUCUUCGACGCUGUGGUCAUGGAGGCUCGGCAGCGCCUUGCCGGAUGUGAAACUCUGAGUGGUAGGUAUGAGAAGUUGAUCACAGGCUUGCAUGACGACGAUGGUACAAUCCUAUAUAAGGGAGCCGAGCUUGGGAGGCAACUUAGAGAUAAUGUUCCUGAUCAAGGACAGCGUUGGAAGGUGCUGGCUGACUUUUGGGCAGAGUUCAUACUCUUCCUGGCGCCAUCGGACAAUGCGCACAUCCAUGCAGAGAUGCUGGCCACCGGCGGGGAGCUCAUGACCCAUCUCUGGGCACUUCUCACUCAUGCUGGUAUUCUGGGGCGGCCCUCUUCCUCCUCUGGGAUAGACCAUCUGGGAGGGUUUAAUGGUACCACUGCACAAGAGUCUGUGGUUUGA
RNAcentral lists this ribosomal RNA (1080 nucleotides) under Triticum aestivum (bread wheat). Its description in RNAcentral is "partial small subunit ribosomal RNA". The record is from RNAcentral. Lineage: Eukaryota; Viridiplantae; Streptophyta; Magnoliopsida; Poales; Poaceae.